UACGGGGGGGGCAAGCGUUGUUCGGAAUUACUGGGCGUAAAGGGCUCGUAGCCGGCCAACUAAGUCAGACGUGAAAUCCCCAGGCUCAACCUGGGAACUGCGUCUGAUACUGGAUGGCUUGAAUCCGGGAGAGGGAUGCAGAAUUCCAGGUGUAGCGGUGAAAUGCGUAGAUAUCUGGAGGAAUACCGGUGGCGAAGGCGGCAUCCUGGACCGGCAUUGACGCUGAGGAGCGAAAGCCAGGGGAGCAAACGGG
RNAcentral lists this ribosomal RNA (253 nucleotides) under uncultured bacterium. Its description in RNAcentral is "partial 16S ribosomal RNA". It matches the Rfam family "Bacterial small subunit ribosomal RNA", at positions 524 to 776 of the family's 1533-position model. The record is from RNAcentral.